GUAACAGCCAUGAACGGGAAAAGUAGCCAAUACUUCCUGCAGGGAGAGAGUGCCGUGACUGAAAGCACUCUCAGGAAAAAGGUUGGUGAAAGGACACCCUGGAGCUGGCAGGUUGAAAGUUUGCAUACGAGUAGGCCUGUCCGUAUAUUCUUGCGUUAAAGAAUAAAAGAGGGCAAUUGUACUAUUGCCUAUUAGGGUGGCACCGCGGGAAAACAGCCUCUCGUCCCUGGC
RNAcentral lists this non-coding RNA (231 nucleotides) under Acetivibrio thermocellus. Its description in RNAcentral is "Clostridium thermocellum T-box sequence". It matches the Rfam family "T-box leader". From Rfam's summary of the family: Uncharged tRNA acts as the effector for transcription antitermination of genes in the T-box leader family. The record is from RNAcentral. Lineage: Bacteria; Bacillati; Bacillota; Clostridia; Acetivibrionales; Acetivibrionaceae.